This 903-nucleotide unclassified non-coding RNA is filed under the name Hevea brasiliensis (rubber tree). Lineage: Eukaryota; Viridiplantae; Streptophyta; Magnoliopsida; Malpighiales; Euphorbiaceae. The record is from RNAcentral.
AAAAACAAAUGUUUAAAAGAAGCAGCGAAGUCCUUCAACUAUUUGGGGCAGAUAGUCCGGUUGAUUGUCUUGUAAAGCAAAUUUGUUUUUGCAUUCAACCGUUGUGCUGGGUAAGGCUGCAAUUUCUAUCUUCAUCCUUUAUUUUUCUUUUUUCAACCUUGAUUAUCAAUCUUGUGAUAUGAAUGCCCACAAGUCAUAUGCUUGUCUUAUUAUGAGAAAGUCUUUCUACUCUCUCUCCCUCUAUAUGCUAUCUACUUGAAUUUAAAUAUGCUUUCAUGAUUAAACAGCCAUCAAAGAGCUAGCAUGCCUUCAACAAAAUUCGAUGCUAAUGAUAUGAAGUUCUAAUGAUUUUGCUGUACUUAGGUGUCAAUUAAUGGUAUUAUAUCUAAUUCAUAGAUCCCCGACAACAAAGCUGUUCUAACUGCCUCAGCUUUUUUGUUUUACAACAUUUUUCCUUGUUUUGUCUUAUGUUUCCCAGGUAGCAUUGAUCCCGUUGUGGCCAAGUUAAAACCUUUCUCUAGCUGUUCAACUUUGCAAACAAGCAGGAGUGCGGAUCAUGGAGUAAAAGCAGCACUUUUCUUUCUACACAUGGGAUUGCCUUAUGCUUGCGCUUGGUGACACUGAUUUUAUCCCAUGUGAAGCAAUUCGACGUAGGAAGCAACAUUUGUGUUCUGAACCAUGUAAAGUGGUGGAUCUCCCCCCACGUCCUUCCUUUCUAAGGCCUUGCCUUCAGAACCUAGCAUUUGUUUCUGAUGCUGAUUUGGGGGCUGGGUCCAUUGGUCCUGAUCCCUCAAGGGAUGUAAGGCAAAUAAAGCCACGUUGUCUGUUGGAACUGGAAACUUCAAUGCACCCACGAGUUUAUUUUGUCAGUAAAGUGCAAGUAUAAUACAACAAACCAACCUA